UACGUAGGGAGCAAGCGUUGUCCGGAAUCAUUGGGCGUAAAGCGCGCGUAGGUGGCCUCGUAAGUCCGCUGUGAAAGUCCAAGGCUCAACCUUGGAAAGCCGGUGGAUACUGUGAGGCUAGAGUACGGAAGAGGCGAGUGGAAUUCCUGGUGUAGCGGUGGAAUGCGCAGAUAUCAGGAGGAACACCAAUAGCGAAGGCAGCUCGCUGGGACGUUACUGACACUGAGGCGCGAAAGCUAGGGGAGCAAACGGG
This 253-nucleotide ribosomal RNA is filed under the name uncultured bacterium. RNAcentral describes it as "partial 16S ribosomal RNA". It matches the Rfam family "Bacterial small subunit ribosomal RNA", at positions 524 to 776 of the family's 1533-position model. The record is from RNAcentral.